UUAAGCGACUAAGCGUACACGGUGGAUGCCCUGGCAGUCAGAGGCGAUGAAGGACGUGCUAAUCUGCGAUAAGCGUCGGUGAGGUGAUAUGAACCGUUAUAACCGGCGAUUUCCGAAUGGGGAAACCCAGUGUGUUUCGACACACUAUCAUUAACUGAAUCCAUAGGUUAAUGAGGCGAACCGGGGGAACUGAAACAUCUAAGUACCCCGAGGAAAAGAAAUCAACCGAGAUUCCCCCAGUAGCGGCGAGCGAACGGGGAGGAGCCCAGAGCCUGAAUCAGUGUGUGUGUUAGUGGAAGCGUCUGGAAAGGCGCGCGAUACAGGGUGACAGCCCCGUACACAAAAAUGCACAUAUUGUGAGCUCGAUGAGUAGGGCGGGACACGUGGUAUCCUGUCUGAAUAUGGGGGGACCAUCCUCCAAGGCUAAAUACUCCUGACUGACCGAUAGUGAACCAGUACCGUGAGGGAAAGGCGAAAAGAACCCCGGCGAGGGGAGUGAAAAAGAACCUGAAACCGUGUACGUACAAGCAGUGGGAGCCUCUUAAUGGGGUGACUGCGUACCUUUUGUAUAAUGGGUCAGCGACUUAUAUUCUGUAGCAAGGUUAACCGAAUAGGGGAGCCGAAGGGAAACCGAGUCUUAACUGGGCGUUAAGUUGCAGGGUAUAGACCCGAAACCCGGUGAUCUAGCCAUGGGCAGGUUGAAGGUUGGGUAACACUAACUGGAGGACCGAACCGACUAAUGUUGAAAAAUUAGCGGAUGACUUGUGGCUGGGGGUGAAAGGCCAAUCAAACCCGGGAGAUAGCUGGUUCUCCCCGAAAGCUAUUUAGGUAGCGCCUCGUGAAUUCAUCUCCGGGGGUAGAGCACUGUUUCGGCAAGGGGGUCAUCCCGACUUACCAACCCGAUGCAAACUGCGAAUACCGGAGAAUGUUAUCACGGGAGACACACGGCGGGUGCUAACGUCCGUCGUGAAGAGGAAACAACCCAGACCGCCAGCUAAGGUCCCAAAGUCAUGGUUAAGUGGGAAACGAUGUGGGAAGGCCCAGACAGCCAGGAUGUUGGCUUAGAAGCAGCCAUCAUUUAAAGAAAGCGUAAUAGCUCACUGGUCGAGUCGGCCUGCGCGGAAGAUGUAACGGGGCUAAACCAUGCACCGAAGCUGCGGCAGCGACACUAUGUGUUGUUGGGUAGGGGAGCGUUCUGUAAGCCUGUGAAGGUGUACUGUGAGGUAUGCUGGAGGUAUCAGAAGUGCGAAUGCUGACAUAAGUAACGAUAAAGCGGGUGAAAAGCCCGCUCGCCGGAAGACCAAGGGUUCCUGUCCAACGUUAAUCGGGGCAGGGUGAGUCGACCCCUAAGGCGAGGCCGAAAGGCGUAGUCGAUGGGAAACAGGUUAAUAUUCCUGUACUUGGUGUUACUGCGAAGGGGGACGGAGAAGGCUAUGUUGGCCGGGCGACGGUUGUCCCGGUUUAAGCGUGUAGGCUGGUUUUCCAGGCAAAUCCGGAAAAUCAAGGCUGAGGCGUGAUGACGAGGCACUACGGUGCUGAAGCGACAAAUGCCCUGCUUCCGGGAAAGCCUCUAAGCAUCAGGUAACAUCAAAUCGUACCCCAAACCGACACAGGUGGUCAGGUAGAGAAUACCAAGGCGCUUGAGAGAACUCGGGUGAAGGAACUAGGCAAAAUGGUGCCGUAACUUCGGGAGAAGGCACGCUGAUAUGUAGGUGAAGCGACUUGCUCGUGGAGCUGAAUCAGUCGAAGAUACCAGCUGGCUGCAACUGUUUAUUAAAAACACAGCACUGUGCAAACACGAAAGUGGACGUAUACGGUGUGACGCCUGCCCGGUGCCGGAAGGUUAAUUGAUGGGGUUAGCGGUAACGCGAAGCUCUUGAUCGAAGCCCCGGUAAACGGCGGCCGUAACUAUAACGGUCCUAAGGUAGCGAAAUUCCUUGUCGGGUAAGUUCCGACCUGCACGAAUGGCGUAAUGAUGGCCAGGCUGUCUCCACCCGAGACUCAGUGAAAUUGAACUCGCUGUGAAGAUGCAGUGUACCCGCGGCAAGACGGAAAGACCCCGUGAACCUUUACUAUAGCUUGACACUGAACAUUGAGCCUUGAUGUGUAGGAUAGGUGGGAGGCUUUGAAGUGUGGACGCCAGUCUGCAUGGAGCCGACCUUGAAAUACCACCCUUUAAUGUUUGAUGUUCUAACGUGGGCCCCUUACCGGGGUUGCGGACAGUGUCUGGUGGGUAGUUUGACUGGGGCGGUCUCCUCCUAAAGAGUAACGGAGGAGCACGAAGGUUGGCUAAUCCUGGUCGGACAUCAGGAGGUUAGUGCAAUGGCAUAAGCCAGCUUGACUGCGAGCGUGACGGCGCGAGCAGGUGCGAAAGCAGGUCAUAGUGAUCCGGUGGUUCUGAAUGGAAGGGCCAUCGCUCAACGGAUAAAAGGUACUCCGGGGAUAACAGGCUGAUACCGCCCAAGAGUUCAUAUCGACGGCGGUGUUUGGCACCUCGAUGUCGGCUCAUCACAUCCUGGGGCUGAAGUAGGUCCCAAGGGUAUGGCUGUUCGCCAUUUAAAGUGGUACGCGAGCUGGGUUUAGAACGUCGUGAGACAGUUCGGUCCCUAUCUGCCGUGGGCGCUGGAGAACUGAGGGGGGCUGCUCCUAGUACGAGAGGACCGGAGUGGACGCAUCACUGGUGUUCGGGUUGUCAUGCCAAUGGCACUGCCCGGUAGCUAAAUGCGGAAGAGAUAAGUGCUGAAAGCAUCUAAGCACGAAACUUGCCCCGAGAUGAGUUCUCCCUGACUCCUUGAGAGUCCUGAAGGAACGUUGAAGACGACGACGUUGAUAGGCCGGGUGUGUAAGCGCAGCGAUGCGUUGAGCUAACCGGUACUAAUGAACCGUGAGGCUUAACCU
Molecule: ribosomal RNA, 2898 nt
Filed under: Escherichia coli
Lineage: Bacteria; Pseudomonadati; Pseudomonadota; Gammaproteobacteria; Enterobacterales; Enterobacteriaceae
Description: 23S ribosomal RNA
Rfam family: Bacterial large subunit ribosomal RNA
Source: RNAcentral